CAGCCUCUGCCCUCCACCAGCAGCCUCCCACUUGGAAAUGAAAAACCAAUAGCCUAAGGCCCACCUCCUCCCACUUCCAAACACGUGUAACCACGAGCCUCUGGGAUAGUCCUUGCAGAUCUGGUGGCACGUGCCAAACGCGUGACGUCAUACGUCACGCACAGGGCAGAGCCACGCCAGUUGGAACCUGGGACAGACAUUGGUCUCCAGGCGCAGGAAGGACACGGCCAAAAUGAUGGGAUGCCACUUUCAAGAUUCGGUUACAGAAAGACUGUGGCUCCUCUCUCUCUCUCUCUCUUUGAGGGAAGCCAGCUGCCAUGUUGUGACUUUCCUGUGGAGAGACCGAUAUAGCAAGGAACUGAUGUCUCUGAUUGACAGCAGUGUGGAACUGGGACCUGCUGACAGCCAUGUAAGUGUGCUGAGCAGCUGAUCCUGCCCCAGGCAGGCCUUAAGAUGACUGCAGCUCUGCAGACACCUUGAAUGUAGGUAACUUUGGGAGAGACCUUGAGCCAGAGGAACCCAAAGAAGCUGCACCUAGAUUCCUGACACACAGAAAUGAAUCAUAAACUUUUCCCACUACUCUGAAGAGUUGGACAUAAUGACCAGUAAAAACAGGAUUUUUGUCCGACAUGGCAACCAUUCCAAUAACAAAUACCGAUGAUCCUUUCGUUUCUGUUCACCUAUAAAAAGAAUUGACAGCAUUGCAGCCUUGCAGUUUAGAAGAAAUCCACUAGAAGAAAUCCACUAGAAGAAAGAAGUAAUAAACUGUCAGCUACUUCUCUGGGAAGAAUUACCUAAGUAAUAAAAUGAAUAAAGUCAACUUUUCUCAUGACUGACUGUAUGGUUACUGACCUUGGCAUGUGACUCUGCUUAGGUUAUUCUAUGUGAAGUACAUGCAUGCUCUUGUUGUAAAAACAAAAAGAUGCUAAUCUUGAAUUUUAUGAUUUUUCUGUGAAUUUGCAAGCUUUAUCUCUCAUUAGAUAAGUUAAUACAAUAUAAAUACUUUUUUUACCAGGCAGGUUUCUAGGCACGUAGAUCGGCAGUUUAUCUGUGUUGCCUCCUAUCUCCUCUUUCUUUCCUCUCUCCCCGCCUCUCUCACCCCAGCAGUCAGCCCUGAUGCCCUAUUCAACAGCACAGGACUCCACUAUGGUGUUUUCCUAAGCUUGCUCUCUAGAGCACAGCCCUAGUACCAGAUCUGUAGUCUCCAAACUUUUUUUGGCUGAAUACCCGAUAAGAAAGAAUUUUGAACACACUCUCAAUAUCUUUAUAAAUUACAUGCAUAUAUUCCUGUUAAUAUAUAAUGAAUACAAUAAAACAUACAGAAAUAAAGAUAUAAAUAGAUGAAAUAAAGAUGAAGCAAAUUAUAUUUUAAA
This is a long non-coding RNA of Acinonyx jubatus (cheetah), 1373 nucleotides long. RefSeq lists it as uncharacterized. The transcript is spliced from 4 exons. The record is from RefSeq and is a predicted model, not a curated record. Lineage: Eukaryota; Metazoa; Chordata; Mammalia; Carnivora; Felidae.